This 450-nucleotide ribosomal RNA is filed under the name uncultured bacterium. RNAcentral describes it as "partial 16S ribosomal RNA". It matches the Rfam family "Bacterial small subunit ribosomal RNA", at positions 29 to 523 of the family's 1533-position model. The record is from RNAcentral.
AACGAACGCUGGCGGCAUGCCUAACACAUGCAAGUCGAACGAGUACCUUCGGGUGCUAGUGGCGCACGGGUGAGUAACGCGUGGGAACCUGCCUUUCGGUACGGGAUAACGUCGGGAAACUGACGCUAAUACCGUAUAUGUCUUUGGAUGACAGAUUUAUCGCCGGAAGAGGGGCCCGCGUCUGAUUAGGUAGUUGGUGAGGUAACGGCUCACCAAGCCUUCGAUCAGUAGCUGGUCUGAGAGGAUGAUCAGCCACACUGGGACUGAGACACGGCCCAGACUCCUACGGGAGGCAGCAGUGGGGAAUAUUGGACAAUGGGCGCAAGCCUGAUCCAGCAAUGCCGCGUGAGUGAUGAAGGCCUUCGGGUUGUAAAGCUCUUUUGCCUGCGACGAUGAUGACGGUAGCAGGAGAAUAAGCCCCGGCUAACUUCGUGCCAGCAGCCGCAGUAA